GCUGGGGCGGCCGGGGCGGGGAGGCCGGGCGGCGCCGGCGAGCCGCGAGGACCCUGCGCAGUGGGCCGGGCGCGAGCCCGCUCCCGUCCCCUCCGGAGCGGGCGGAGGGAGGAAGUGGAGCCCGGGGGUGGGAGCGAGGCCCGCGGCGGACCCCCGCUCCGUCCCUCUGGGAGCCGCGGACCCAGCCCGCCGCGGGGUUGGGUCUUGCCUCUCCUCUUGGAUUGGAAGGCAGAGGCUGUCUCCAAACCAGCCGGCCUCGGAGGCGUGUUUGGUAAGAGUUUGGCAAAGAUUCUUGGGCUGAGGGGAGGCUGUUCAAGGGACGCGUUGAUGGAGCGCCCCUGGCCCCUGGACAGCACUUUGCCCAAGCUCUCUGGACUCUGUUGUCUUGAGGGUCACAAGAUCUUCCAUAGCCCCUACUUUGGACAGACUUAGGAUUGGUGCCUGGAAGCCAGCAGCAGCCGCACCGACAGGAACACGGAUCAGGGUUGUCACCCCUAGUUUUGCAGAAGAAAACAAAAUAAUUCCAGGCUCCGUGUUUAGCAACUUACAUGCGUUCCUCACAAAAGCCCUGGCAGGUAGCAAUUACUUUACCCAUGUUAUAGGAAGGAAACUGAGACAGGCCCCCGACCCCCAACUGAUUGGCUCAAGGUUAUACACAGAUCUGCUUCUUCCCAAAACUGUGGUUUAAUCUCCUCCAAAUGUGAAGGAAACUGAGGCCCAGGGAAGUUACAUCCAGCUAAUUGGUGCUAGGACAGGACAGAACCUCCCUCCCAGUUCCUCCUGUAUCUGGUCUCUGGUGUGUGCCUGGCUUUGUGCAGAGGAAUGCAUUUCUUCCCUAUCCUCCUCCGGAUCUAUUUUAAAAGAAAAGACAUUUCCUGUUCUUAAAGCCAAGUUCAAAUGCCACUGCUUUCCUGAUGCUUUCCCUGUGACACCACUUGAUACCUCUCAUGGGACUUAGCAAAUAAUUGCAACAAGGCAUACUAUGUGUUAGUUAAACCUAACUUGAGGGCCCACGGUGUGCCGGACUGAAGGCCUACUAUGUCUGUAAACUCCCCUCCUUGCAGGCAGGAAGCACAUUGUUUAGGUUUCUCUUUUAUCUCACAUAAGAUGCUUUUAAAAUUCUCUAGGGAAGGAGUGAACAGUUAUGUUUCUGUCCUCAACAAGCUGCAUUGGAUUUGAAGAAAUACGCAGAAACAUGCUAAGGACUAACACCCAAGGUUGAGAAUAGAAAUGUAAAGAGAACUUGGACAGCAAACUAUUGGGCUGUAUGCAGGAAGUCCUUCUGGGGCUGAAAUACCUCAAAGAAUGGAUUUGCAUAGGAGAGCAGGGAGGAUAUUUCUGUGGCAGAAGUGGGGUGAGUUCAGGACACCUGCCUCUGCAUGAAGGGUGUGUGCUGCAUAUAGAGAUGAGCCAGUGGAGUGGGUCCAGAUGCCAGAGGGCUACAAUAGUCACUAUUAGUGAGGGAGGCCAGAGUAAAUUAUAGCAGGUCCUGCAGCGGAACCUGCUAUAACAUAAUCAUCUGCCCCAGACAGAGGACCAUCCUCACACUUGGUGGCUACCAGGAACGAUAGUAAAAUACUUGGUUCCACAGGGCACAGGACGCUACCUGGGUGGCACAGAGAUGGCAGAGGAAAACGGACAACCCAGCAGAUUAGAAGGUUCUCAGAAGAACCUGCUUUAAAAACGGUCCAGCUGUGUUCAAAUUGUGCUUGGAAUUUCUAGUGCACAAAAGAGAUCAUCCUCCUUCAGGCAGUCAUCCAUGUCGGGGGCAGAGACAGUGAUAAUGCAGAACAGCUUGCUGGGGCCCAGCCAAAUGCUGGCCCCGGAGGCGGGAGACCUGCUUUUUGAGCCUUGGCUCUGCCACCAGUGUGACCUUGGGAAGUGUACUUAACCUCCUCUCGGAGUUUCAGGGUCACCCCUUCUGUAAAGUGCAUCUCUAAAGAUCGUAUUAUUUAUAUAAACCUCUUUCUUAGAGAGAAUAGUCAUCUGAUAUGGAGAACAGUUCAGUGAUACCUACGCUUUUUUUUUCAGCUGGCAGACUGCAGGCCAGAGAUAGAAUGGAAGGAUUCUCAGCUUGUGCUUCUACCUGGAAGAACAGAGGGUGGGGCGAGGGGACUGUAGCUUUCAGUGUUUCCCUCUCACCGUUUUUUUCCUCUGGGCGCAGUGAGUAUGAUGGUUAAGAUGGCUCUGGAACAAACCAACUUGGGUUCAGACUCAAUGGACUACAGAGUGUGACCUCUCUGAACCUCAGUGUCUUCAUCUUUAAGAUGACAGUUACAAGAACUACUUUCCCAGGUUGUUGUAAGGAUUAAAUGAGAGACACCAUAUGACUCUAGACACAUAGAGGAAGGCUCCAUGAGAAAAAGGUAGCUAACAAUUUGCAGAGUCACCAGGGGCAAGUAUAACUUCACAGAGUUUCUGUGUCUAGACUUCAAGGAUUUUCUUUCAUCCUUAGUUCUUGGAUCUCCAGCACCAUAUGUGGCUUACAAACCACACGCUAUGAUGUGUUGAACUAAAAAAGGCAGCAGUGUUUUCCUUUAAGUAGGGCUCCACUGUGGUGUUUGGUUACACCCAGAGGAGGAGGCUGGCCAGUGGUCAUGGGAAUGUCUAGGGCAGCAAGGUCCAGUGGCUUUUGGAGAUUUCCAUUCUGCUGUCCCCUUUUCUGAGCCAGCACAGGACACAUUUAGGGGAGUUUCUCCUUCCCUUUUCCUCCUGACUCCUCCAUCCCUUCUCCCCAGAGUAUACUGGAUGGUCAGGAAUGCAGCUGGAACCAGAGACAUCUCCUCCGACCAACCCAACUUGCCUCAUAAAAUCUGCGGACAGUGCGGACCUUAGACUAUAGGGUGAAGAUUUGUAAGCCCACAGCCCUCUCGGUUUCCCUCAUUUCAGUUAGAAUGCAUGGAGCUCUCCCGUGAGGGCCGGUUGCCUCUUCUCCUGUUCCAGGUUGACAAGGCCCACAGAGGCCAACAUGAGCCCUGAAAUGCUCUCCAAACUGAGGGUGGAUGGAGGUGGGGGGAGUUCUCCUUCACAGUUGGCUUUUCGUCCUAAUUGCUUUCGGCAUCUCCCACUUCCAGUAAACUCCACGGUGAGUUACCUGCUGAUGGAGCCACUGGCAGCUCACAUGCGGGUUAUUGAAACAACCUCCCACCUGGCCUCCCAGACCAAGAACCUGCUGCCCUGUUGUCUGUUUUCAGCAUAAAGUCGAGAACAUCUUCACUUAAAUAUAAGUCAAUUCAUGUCACACCUCUAUCCAAAACCCUCUGAUGACUUUCCAAGACAGGACAAAAGCCAGAAUUUUUACAGUGACCUCUCUGUUCCCAUGUUCUGCCCCCUGCCACCUCUUAUCUCAUCCUGUUACACCCCUUGCUGACUGCCUUCUGGCCACAUGGGCCUCCUUGUUGCUCCUCAGUAUGUUCCUACCUCAGAGCUUUGGAAUUUUGUUCCCUGGGCCUGGCAACUUUACCCCAGGUAUCUACAAGGUUCUUUACUUCUUCAAAUUAAAUGCCACAUUGACCACCCUAUGUAAAGGAACUUUAUUUAGUUCUAUCUUCUAUCCCCAGUGCCUAGAAUGAUGCCUAGUGCUCAAAAAAUGUUACAAAUAUCACAUUAUUAAAACUUGUCUACAUAGGGCCUUCCCUUUCAUAAGACAUCCAAGAGGGAGAACAGUGGAAGGAAGGAACUCAAUGAGUAUGGCCUCCAAGAGCUCCAGCACUAUGAUCUUGGGAACGAUGACAAUGGCAGUGAUGAUGGUGGCAACGGUGGAGGUGAUUCGAUGGUAAGAUGGUGGUGAUGGGAUGGUGACAGUGGUGGCAGUGAUGACAUCUAUGACAAUGAGCAGGAUGAUUGCUGCCACUGCUGGGCUGCAAGAGAGCUUCAGUGACACACGCCCUGUGGUCUUUGGUAUUUACUGAUCGCUUGCUGAAUGCCAGGCACCGUGCCAGGAGUUUUACCUUCAUUACCUCCUCUCAUUUCAGUGAGUCUCUGGUGUAGGCACCACAGCAGCACAUAUCCAGUGCCCAUGACACUGGACCACUUGCCCAAGGGGACACUACUUAAGAAUUGCAGAACAGGCUAGAAUCUAGGCAAUUGAGCCUAAAACUCACUCUCUGAGCUGGCAUACAAAUGUACAGACAGAGGAGGACAGAGGGCCUGAAGGGUAAGUAAACCCCAGGUAAACCCCAGGUACUUCAGAAGCAGUGGGAAUGUCUAGUUGGGAAGGGAGGGGAGGAGCCACAUCCCAGCCUUCCUCAAUCAAUUCACCUUUGCAAGGGCUCCUCUUACCGUGCUCUGGGUGGAAGUAUUUCACUCCUUAGGGGUGCUGUAGGCAGGAAAAGAAAUUAUAAGAGCCUCUGCCCUAGCGAAACAUUUUUUUAAAAUCCCUCCAAAUCUGGCUCCUUCUCUUUCCUCUCUCUAGCCUGGUUGCUCUCUCUAAUCCCUUCCUCCUCUGUGUUUAGCCAGACCCAGCUUCCCUGCAGUUGCCCUAAUUUACCCUCCCAUGAGGAACUCAGCUUCCUUGAUCUUUUUCCUGCCUUUCCUCCCAACCUGGAUAAGGUACCCAUCCCUGCUACACCUCCAGCUCCUAGGCUGUAGAACUCACCAUUCUAAUAGACUAGUUGUUUACUAUUCUCCACAAUAGAAGUUUCAGGGCAGAAGACUGAUCUGUUCCCUUUUUAUCUCCAGUGCAAGGUAGUUUGCCUGGACAGUAGGAGGCACUCAGCAUAUGAUGGAUGGAUGGAUGGAUGGAUGGAUGGAUGGAUGGAUGGAUGGAUGGAUGGACGGACGAACAGAUGGGCAGAAGGACAAAUAGAUGGAUGGUGUAUUCAUUUUCUCAAGCUUCUAUAACAAAAUACCACCAAAUGAGCACUGAGCUGGAACAAUGGAUAUUUAUUUUCUCACAUUUCUGGAGGCCAAAAGUCCAAAAUCAAGGGGUCAGCAGGUUUAAUUUCUUUCGAGGCCUCUUUCUCUGGCUUGUAAAUGAAUAGUCACCUUUCUGUGCCUUCCCGUGAUCUCACAUCUCCCUAGGUGUCCAAAUUUCCUCUUCUUAAAAGGACACCAGUCAGGUUGCAUCGGGACUCACCCUACAGCCUCCUUUAAACUUAAUCACCUCUUUAAAGACUGUUUCCAAAUGCAGUCACAUUAUGAGGUACUAGAGGACUUCGGUGUGAAUUUGGGGGUGGGGAAAGAAUGGAUAUGACAGUACAUGACUUAGAAUGCUAUGCCAAUUCUCUGCACCACUCUGUCAGGGUACCUAAGAGGAUGUUGAGAAAGGCUCAAAGAUUUGAGAGUUUAGUACUAGAGGUAUCUGGUGAAAAAUGCAACAUUUUAUGAGAGGCUCAG
RNAcentral lists this long non-coding RNA (5337 nucleotides) under Marmota monax (woodchuck). The record is from RNAcentral. Lineage: Eukaryota; Metazoa; Chordata; Mammalia; Rodentia; Sciuridae.